CGGAGUGUGGCUCAGCCCGAUUAGCGCACUAGUCUGGGAGACGAGGGGUCGGAGGUUCAUAUCCUCUCGCUCCGACCA
RNAcentral lists this transfer RNA (78 nucleotides) under Bradyrhizobium sp. LVM 105. RNAcentral's name for it is "tRNA-Pro". It matches the Rfam family "tRNA". From Rfam's summary of the family: Transfer RNA (tRNA) molecules are approximately 80 nucleotides in length. Their secondary structure includes four short double-helical elements and three loops (D, anti-codon, and T loops). The record is from RNAcentral. Lineage: Bacteria; Pseudomonadati; Pseudomonadota; Alphaproteobacteria; Hyphomicrobiales; Nitrobacteraceae.